CCUACGGGAGGCAGCAGUGAGGAAUAUUGGUCAAUGGGCGCGAGCCUGAACCAGCCAAGUAGCGUGAAGGAUGACUGCCCUACGGGUUGUAAACUUCUUUUAUAAAGGAAUAAAGUGAGGCACGUGUGCCUUUUUGUAUGUACUUUAUGAAUAAGGAUCGGCUAACUCCGUGCCAGCAGCCGCGGUAAUACGGAGGAUCCGAGCGUUAUCCGGAUGUAUUGGGUUAAAAGGGAGCGUAGAUGGGUUGUAAGUCAGUUGUGAAAGUUUGCGGCUCAAACGUAAGAUUGCAAUUGAUACUGGCAACCUUGAGUACAGUUGAGGUAGGCGGAAUUCGUGGUGUAGCGGUGAAAUGCUUAGAUAUCACGAAGAACUCCGAUUGCGAAGGCAGCUUACUA
RNAcentral lists this ribosomal RNA (395 nucleotides) under uncultured bacterium. Its description in RNAcentral is "partial 16S ribosomal RNA". It matches the Rfam family "Bacterial small subunit ribosomal RNA", at positions 338 to 731 of the family's 1533-position model. The record is from RNAcentral.